CACGUAGUUAGCCGUGGCUUUCUGGUUAGGUACCGUCAAGGUGCCGACCUAGUUCGAACGGCACUUGUUCUUCCCUAACAACAGAACUUUACGACCCGAAGGCCUUCAUCGUUCACGCGGCGUUGCUCCGUCAGACUUUCGUCCAUUGCGGAAGAUUCCCUACUGCUGCCUCCCGUAGGAGUCUGGGCCGUGUCUCAGUCCCAGUGUGGCCGAUCACCCUCUCAGGUCGGCUACGCAUCGUCGCCUUGGUGAGCCGUUACCUCACCAACUAGCUAAUGCGCCGCAGGCCCAUCUCAUAGUGUUAGCUUACGCCAACUUUUAAUUUCUCUUUAUGCAAAGAAAAAUGUUAUCCGGUAUUAGCUCCGGUUUCCCGAAGUUGUCCCAGUCUAUGAGGCAGGUUGCCUACGUGUUACUCACCCGUCCGCCGCUAAGAUUUUAAAAGCAAGCUUUUAAAUUCUCGCUCGACUUGCAUGUAUUAGGCACGCCGCCAGCGUUCGUCCUGAGCCAGGAUCAAACUCU
RNAcentral lists this ribosomal RNA (519 nucleotides) under uncultured Bacillaceae bacterium. RNAcentral's name for it is "partial 16S ribosomal RNA". Lineage: Bacteria; Bacillati; Bacillota; Bacilli; Caryophanales; Bacillaceae. The record is from RNAcentral.